GUGGGGAAUAUUAGGCAAUGGGGGAAACCCUGACCUAGCAACGCCGCGUGAGGGAUGAAGGUUUUCGGAUUGUAAACCUCUUUGGCAGGGGACGAUAAUGACGGUACCCUGAGAACAAGCCACGGCUAACUACGUGCCAGCAGCCGUGGUAAUACGUAGGUGGCAAGCGUUGUCCGGAUUUACUGGGUGUAAAGGGCGAGUAGGCGGGAUAGAAAGUCAGAUGUGAAAUACCGAGGCUUAACUUCGGGGCUGCAUUUGAAACUUCUGUUCUUGAGUGCUGGAGAGGCAGGCGGAAUUCCCGGUGUAGCGGUGAAAUGCAUAGCGAUCGGGAGGAACACCAGUGGCGAAGGCGGCCUGCUGGACAUUAACUGACGCUGAGGCGCGAAAGUGUGGGGAGCAAACAGGAUUAGAUACCCGGGUAGUCC
This 425-nucleotide ribosomal RNA is filed under the name uncultured bacterium. Its description in RNAcentral is "partial 16S ribosomal RNA". It matches the Rfam family "Bacterial small subunit ribosomal RNA", at positions 354 to 796 of the family's 1533-position model. The record is from RNAcentral.